RNAcentral lists this transfer RNA (77 nucleotides) under Candidatus Aquarickettsia rohweri. RNAcentral describes it as "tRNA-Arg". It matches the Rfam family "tRNA". Rfam says of the family: Transfer RNA (tRNA) molecules are approximately 80 nucleotides in length. Their secondary structure includes four short double-helical elements and three loops (D, anti-codon, and T loops). Further hydrogen bonds mediate the characteristic L-shaped molecular structure. tRNAs have two regions of fundamental functional importance: the anti-codon, which is responsible for specific mRNA codon recognition, and the 3' end, to which the tRNAs corresponding amino acid is attached (by aminoacyl-tRNA synthetases). tRNAs cope with the degeneracy of the genetic code in two manners: having more than one tRNA (with a specific anti-codon) for a particular amino acid; and 'wobble' base-pairing, i.e. permitting non-standard base-pairing at the 3rd anti-codon position. Lineage: Bacteria; Pseudomonadati; Pseudomonadota; Alphaproteobacteria; Rickettsiales; Candidatus Midichloriaceae. The record is from RNAcentral.
GCAUUUGUAGCUCAGUUGGAUAGAGCGUUACCUUCCGAUGGUAUAGGUCGUGGGUUCUAAUCCCUCCAAAUGCACCA